AACGAACGCUGGCGGCAGGUUUAACACAUGCAAGUCGAGCGCCCCGCAAGGGGAGCGGCAGACGGGGGAGUAACGCGUGGGAACAUACCCUUUCCUGUGGAAUAGCUCCGGGAAACUGGAAUUAAUACCGCAUAAGCCCUACGGGGGAAGGAUCUAUCCGGGAAGGGUUGGCCCGGGUUGGAUUAGCUAGUUGGUGGGGUAAAGGCCUACCAAGGCGACGAUACAUAGCUGGUCUGAGAGGAGGAUCAGCCACAUUGGGACUGGGACACGGCCCAAACUCCUACGGGGGGCAGCAGUGGGGAAUAUUGGACAAUGGGCGCAAGCCUGAUCCAGCCAUGCCGCGUGAGCGAUGAAGGCCUUAGGGUUGUAAAGCUCUUUCACCGGAGAAGAUAAUGACGGUAUCCGGAGAAGAAGCCCCGGCUAACUUCGUGCCAGCCGCCGCCGUAA
Molecule: ribosomal RNA, 447 nt
Filed under: uncultured bacterium
Lineage: Bacteria
Description: partial 16S ribosomal RNA
Rfam family: Bacterial small subunit ribosomal RNA
Source: RNAcentral